Photinus pyralis (common eastern firefly) is the source of this 838-nucleotide long non-coding RNA. RefSeq lists it as uncharacterized. Lineage: Eukaryota; Metazoa; Arthropoda; Insecta; Coleoptera; Lampyridae. The record is from RefSeq and is a predicted model, not a curated record. The transcript is spliced from 2 exons.
UCCCACCUUUUUUAUGGGAGAUUUUCGAACUUUACGCAUUCAUACACAAUAAAACCCGUAUAUAGGUGUCGAUAUGGAAAUGAAAUGGGAUAAAGUACCAUAUCAAAUUCGCGAGCACGCGCUGCUAUAAAUAAACACUAUCGCAAGAUUGAAACUUCCCAUACCAAUUAUUAGAAUAAUGACAUCUGCGAACUCUGUUCUCUUUGAGGAUAGCUUCUACGUCUUACUAUAAAAAACCAGGGGGCUGCCUUAGACCCUAAGAGCUACUAUAUAAAACUAGGGGUAGUUCCUUGGGGAUAGGAUUAGGGGUUAGCUCCCCCACCCUACGAAAUAGCUCACAUCGGUAUCUACAGCUCCUGACGUUGAUGCUAUAAUUAAAUACUAUCGAAUUAUUGCGAGAUUGCAGCAUCCUCUCCCAUAACCGCGGUUAUUUUUUUCUCUAACUGAUAACACAUUUACAUUCGUGCUUAUUUAGCUGCAAAUGUCGAAUCAAGAAAUGUGCAAUCAUUUUUGCGAGGAGUCGAGGUAAACCUGCAUGUAUAUUACUAUACGUUUUAACCGUAUAUUUGUAGAACAAGAAACUACUAUUAUUUUCGGCGGGAUAAACCCAGCGAGGUAUAAAACCCCCCAUGUAUUACGUUUUAAUUAUAUACCUAUGUGUAGAACGGAGCGGGGAUUUCCAAUUAUGAAUAACAAUGUCGGCAUCCAAAAAAAUAGGGGCGUUGCCGUCGUCGGUCCUCUUCGACGCAAAUUUUAUGUAAGUAGAGUAAGCGCUUUAAUUGUAAUAAUAAACUUCAAAUCGAUAUUUCAGAUCUAAAUAAAAACGCCCUACAUUUUG